This is a non-coding RNA of Peromyscus maniculatus bairdii (prairie deer mouse), 1111 nucleotides long. NCBI's taxonomy places the organism in Eukaryota, Metazoa, Chordata, Mammalia, Rodentia, Cricetidae. The record is from RefSeq and is a predicted model, not a curated record.
AGCUGACGCGUGAGCAUGAGAAUGCUCAGCAGCUGUGCAGUCCUACGGGAGUGAAUGAACUCGACACACACACUCUGGUGUGGAAGCGCUUGCAUCCAGCAUGCACAGAAGUCCAGCAAUGCAGAAAGAAAAGCACAGACGUCUCAAGAUGCUCCUAUCAAAUGAAGACUUCGGGUCACACAGACACUAAGAGGCAACGAAGCAGUCGUACUACCCACCCAUCUGUAGCUCGGAAAUGCUCUCCACCAGCGACCAGUCCAAACUGUAGCCACAGUGGGAUUUGUCCAUCAGGUUGUCCAGCACUUGUCUCACCGUCUGUCUCUCGUCCACCAUCAUUGUCUUAGAACUGUCGUCAGCCAUGUGGACCCUGAUCACCAGCUGCGACAGGCUGUGUCUCCUUACAGGCUUCCGUUACUGCCGUGCCCUAGAGACGGGGGCAGGGGAAGGCAGUGAGCUUCUGUCCAGAAACUGGAUCCCUUUCAAUGAAUGGAGCCACUGAAUUAACAGAAUGACCAGUGCCCGGAAACCCAAUAGUAAAAGAACAAAGAACUUAAUUUUGAUAAUGAAGAGGAUUAAUACUUAAUUCUUGUACUAUUACAGAUUUGUUCCUCUGACUAAAAGAUUAAAUAAUCCAGUCUUUUUCUUUAUGAAAAUAAAUAGCAUCAUAAAAUAUGUAGAUUACAUUUAAUGUAAGAUUUUUUUUUUUUUUGAAAAACAGACUGUAAGAAACUUAAGCUAGUAUUAUUAAAAUUAUUUCUAGAAUGGAGUCUUCUAGAACUGAAAAACAAAAUCAUUAUUAAGUAAAUCACCAAAUAUGCAAUGCUGAUGACACAGCCAGGCUCUAUAAUAAAUUUGAAAUACUUUAAACAAUCAUGUAACUGAUUUAAUAAAAAAAAAAAAAUAGAAAGCAUUCACCAUUGCCUCAAUGUUUUAUUGGCAUGAAUGACUGCUGUAGAUUAGGAAAAUUCGCCAAUGUAUUCAUUUACAAGUUUCAUUUAUGUCUCUGAAAAGUAAAUUUGAAGGCUAUUAGGGAGAAACUGAAUUGGAAUUAAUGCUUUGUAUAUUUGAAAUACAAACAUGAACAUCUAAAAAUAAAAUAUUUAAAAAUAAA